AAACCAUAUGAUGAAUUAUGGAUUUCCAAUCUCACGACGGUCGUCUGACUUAAUCUUGAUGUAUUGAUCCGAUAUUUCUGAUGGUU
Molecule: small nucleolar RNA, 86 nt
Organism: Vicia villosa (hairy vetch)
Lineage: Eukaryota; Viridiplantae; Streptophyta; Magnoliopsida; Fabales; Fabaceae
Product: small nucleolar RNA Z161/Z228
Exons: 1
Source: RefSeq, a predicted model, not a curated record